GGAAGCUCCGGUAGGUGGCGAUCUCAAUGCCCAGGACCAGCUUGACGUUCAUCAGCUCCUGGUACUCGCGCAGCAGCCGGGCCAGGUCCUCCUUGGCCUGCUGCAGGGCAUCCUCCAGCUGGCCC
Non-coding RNA from Ceratotherium simum simum (southern white rhinoceros), 125 nucleotides. The record is from RefSeq and is a predicted model, not a curated record. Lineage: Eukaryota; Metazoa; Chordata; Mammalia; Perissodactyla; Rhinocerotidae.